UACGGAGGGAGCUAGCGUUGUUCGGAAUUACUGGGCGUAAAGCGCACGUAGGCGGCUUUUUAAGUCAGGGGUGAAAUCCUGGAGCUCAACUCCAGAACUGCCUUUGAUACUGAGAAGCUUGAGUCCGGGAGAGGUGAGUGGAACUGCGAGUGUAGAGGUGAAAUUCGUAGAUAUUCGCAAGAACACCAGUGGCGAAGGCGGCUCACUGGCCCGGUACUGACGCUGAGGUGCGAAAGCGUGGGGAGCAAACAGG
This 253-nucleotide ribosomal RNA is filed under the name uncultured bacterium. RNAcentral describes it as "partial 16S ribosomal RNA". It matches the Rfam family "Bacterial small subunit ribosomal RNA", at positions 524 to 776 of the family's 1533-position model. The record is from RNAcentral.